GACGAACGCUGGCGGCGUGCCUAAUACAUGCAAGUCGAGCGAAGCGGGGACGGGUGAGUAACACGUGGUAACCCUCCUUUAAGUCCCGGACAACUUCGGGAAACCGGUGCUAAAGCGGAUACUCAUAGGUCGAUCAGCGAUGCACUAGCUAGUUGGUAAGGUAACGGCUUACCAAGGCAACGAUGCAUAGCCGACCUGAGAGGGUGAUCGGCCACACUGGGACUGAGACACGGUCCAGACUCCUACGGGAGGCAGCAGUAGGGAAUCUUCCGCAAUGGGCGAAAGCCUGACCGAGCAACGCCGCGUGAGUGAAGAAGGUCUUCGGAUCGUAAAACUCUGUUAUUAGGGAAGCGGUACCUAAUCAGAAAGCCACGGCUAACUACGUGCCAGCCGCCGCGGUAAUUC
This 405-nucleotide ribosomal RNA is filed under the name uncultured bacterium. RNAcentral describes it as "partial 16S ribosomal RNA". It matches the Rfam family "Bacterial small subunit ribosomal RNA", at positions 28 to 526 of the family's 1533-position model. The record is from RNAcentral.